Molecule: ribosomal RNA, 299 nt
Filed under: uncultured bacterium
Lineage: Bacteria
Description: partial 16S ribosomal RNA
Rfam family: Bacterial small subunit ribosomal RNA
Source: RNAcentral
GACGAACGCUGGCGGCAUGCCUAACACAUGCAAGUCGAACGGGGAUAGCAAUAUCCUAGUGGCGAACGGGUGAGUAACGCGUGAGCAACCUGCCUUGUACAACGGGAUACCCGAGGGAAACUUCGGUUAAUACGGUAUAAGACCACACUACCGCAUGGUAGAGGGGUAAAAGGAGAAAUCCGGUAUAAGAUGGGCUCGCGUCGCAUUAGCUAGUUGGUGGGGUAACGGCUCACCAAGGCGACGAUGCGUAGCCGACCUGAGAGGGUGAUCGGCCACAUUGGGACUGAGAUACGGCCCAG